GAGGAUGAGUACCUCCGCAGGAGGUUCGAGCCUCGCGAAGCGAGACAACGUUGCUUCAGCAACGGCCCGCAGGGCGCGCAUCCAAGAUGCGCGUAAUCCUC
This 101-nucleotide small RNA is filed under the name Serratia marcescens. RNAcentral describes it as "RtT sRNA". It matches the Rfam family "RtT RNA", at positions 18 to 118 of the family's 130-position model. Rfam says of the family: This family represents a bacterial cis-regulatory element known as RtT RNA. The exact function of RtT is unknown although it is thought that it may be involved in changing the cellular response in relation to amino acid starvation. The record is from RNAcentral. RNAcentral also lists the same sequence under 1 other name. Lineage: Bacteria; Pseudomonadati; Pseudomonadota; Gammaproteobacteria; Enterobacterales; Yersiniaceae.